CAGACGACGCUGCGGCAUGCUAAACAUGCAGUCAGCGGAACGAUAUAGCUGCUAUCAGGCGUCGAGCGGCGGACGGGUGAGUACACUUAGGAAUCUACCUAGUAGUGGGGGAUAGCUCGGGGAAACUCGAAUUAAUACCGCAUACGACCUACGGGAGAAAGGGGGCAGUUUACUGCUCACGCUAUUAGAUGAGCCUAAGUCGGAUUAGCUAGAUGGUGGGGUAAAGGCCUACCAUGGCGACGAUCUGUAGCUGGUCUGAGAGGAUGAUCAGCCACACCGGGACUGAGACGCGGCCCGGACUCCUACGGGAGGCAGCAGUGGGGAAUAUUGGACAAUGGGGGCAACCCUGAUCCAGCCAUGCCGCGUGAGCGAUGAAGGUCUUCGGAUCGUAAAGCUCUGU
This 400-nucleotide ribosomal RNA is filed under the name uncultured bacterium. RNAcentral's name for it is "bacterial SSU rRNA". It matches the Rfam family "Bacterial small subunit ribosomal RNA", at positions 33 to 436 of the family's 1533-position model. The record is from RNAcentral.